UACGUAGGGUGCAGGCGUUAAUCGGAAUUACUGGGCGUAAAGCGUGCGUAGGCGGUUUGUUAAGACAGGUGUGAAAUCCCCCGGGCUUAACCUGGGAACUGCGCUUGUUACUGGCAGACUGGAGUGUGGCAGAGGGGGGUGGAAUUCCUGGUGUAGCGGUGAAAUGCGCAGAUAUCAGGAGGAACACCGGUGGCGAAGGCGGAUCUCUGGGCCUUACCUGACGCUGAGGCGCGAAAGCUAGGGGAGCGAACAGG
RNAcentral lists this ribosomal RNA (254 nucleotides) under uncultured bacterium. RNAcentral's name for it is "partial 16S ribosomal RNA". It matches the Rfam family "Bacterial small subunit ribosomal RNA", at positions 524 to 776 of the family's 1533-position model. The record is from RNAcentral.